UCCUUCUCAGAAUCUUACCUGGAAAGUUUCCAGUACUCUACCAGUCUCGAUUAUGGGAGGGAGAGUCAGGCAGAGGAGAGGCCCAUUUCAUUCCCAGCUUGGUCAGUGGCUAGCGAGUGGAAGGCAAUCUGCUACAAGU
Molecule: small nucleolar RNA, 139 nt
Organism: Ornithorhynchus anatinus (platypus)
Lineage: Eukaryota; Metazoa; Chordata; Mammalia; Monotremata; Ornithorhynchidae
Source: RefSeq, a predicted model, not a curated record